RNAcentral lists this long non-coding RNA (373 nucleotides) under Brassica napus (rape). RNAcentral's name for it is "long non-coding RNA (BNAP_LNC014084)". The record is from RNAcentral. Lineage: Eukaryota; Viridiplantae; Streptophyta; Magnoliopsida; Brassicales; Brassicaceae.
UUUGAGCGUGAACAACAAGUAAAGACCUAGGCUACAAGAGAUGUCGGUAUGUUCGCUAGUCUAGCGACCUAAAUCUAAACUAGUUGAGUCGCAGCUCGAUUAGUAAAAACGGAAAAAGAUGCCUAAAUUGCUCUAAGUGCUAAGUUACUCUGAUGUGCUCUUCUCUCCUCCCUCUUCGUCCUAGGUCCUCCUUAUAUACUCCUCCUUAGGUUGGUUUACCUCUUCUUGGGCCAGAUUUGUCGCGAAGUGGGCUUUUUCUUAUUGCCUUCUUCUUUGUGAUUAUCUUCGGAAAUUUGACAUUUAUCUCUUCCCGCGGAUGAGAUAAACCGUCAUACCAGUCUUUGGGCUCAAAUAUUUUGGGACCAUAGAUGGG